Molecule: long non-coding RNA, 3369 nt
Filed under: Trifolium pratense (red clover)
Lineage: Eukaryota; Viridiplantae; Streptophyta; Magnoliopsida; Fabales; Fabaceae
Description: long non-coding RNA (TPRA_LNC000050)
Source: RNAcentral
GUAAACAAAACAAAUUAUGGCUAAAACUCUCAUGUUUUUUCAAAUUAUGUUUACUUUUAUUUUUAUAUUUACCAUUGUAAUUGAAGGCCUCCUCCCUAGUAAGAUCGAAUUUUUUUCCGUCAAAUUUUCUUUAUAUGUUUUAUUCCCUAUUAUUAACAUUCGUUUUUUCUUAUUUGACAUCGCAGAAUAUAAUUUCAAUAAGAAGUGUUUUAAUGACAAGGAUUGCCCUAAAUUUCUAUGUAUACCUCCUAGUGUUCCAAAGUGCUUAAGGAACCAUUGUCGAUGUGAUGACAAUUGAAUCGCAUCCUCAAAAGUUAUAAAAAAUGGUCAUUAGUGCUACCGUUAUUGAUAAUAAUUUUACCUUCCCCACUUUUUGAUCAAGUUCAAAAAUAUAUUUGUGGUACUUCUAAGAGUAUAAUUGUAUUUGUAAAGUUGGUACUUUUAUGCUUUAUUUCACCCUUCCAUAUUUGUUAGUUAAACCUUUAAAAUUUAUUUGUUUGACUCAUAAGUAUAUUAUUGUAUUAUGCAAGUGUUGUUACAUAUUCCUUUGCUUUUAGAAGUUAUCAAGAAUAAACUACACAAAUAUAACCGUAACAUUCUUCAAAAUAUAUAUACAUCUGGAGUAGUAAACAAAGGCAAUAUAUGCUCAAAUGUAGUAUAAUUAUUCUAUUUAAAUAUAGUAUGAUUAAAUAAAAAUGUGAACUUUAAUUGAAUUGAUAAAAUUAUCGAAAAGAGCUAAAUUUCAUGAUUGACAAUGGGUAGGGGUAUGAGUAUGAUACUAUAGUAUUCAUUUUCAUACCCGCAGUUUGAAAAAAUACUCGUACUCAACCUCAUAUACUCGUGUGGGUAAAAACCUUUGUACCCGUACUCGUAUCACUACAAGAAAAACAUACAUUUGCGGCGGCCAAAAGCCCACGCAAAGGCACAAAAAGCCAACACAGAGGAUUAUUUGCGGCGGAAAUUUGUCACGGGAAAACUGGGGUAGAAAAUAGUUGCGGUUAUUUUGCAAAAGGCAGCCGCAAAUGUGUCUGUCAGAUCAUUGCGUCGGUUACUUUCUGCCGCAAACUUUGAUGGGAAUUUCAAAAUUCAGAUACGUUUGCAUGGCAAUAAAACCGACGGAACACUGUGCCCAGUUUGAUUAAGCCAGACCUAGUGCGGCGGACAGAAGGCCGCCGGAAAUGCCAAGUAAUUAAAAAAAUUAAUUUAUCAUCAAAUUUUAAAAAUCAAUUUAUCAUCUUCUUCAUUUUUGUUGAUUUAUCAAAUUUUAUGAUCAAAUUCAUUUUUAUCGUUGUUGAUUUAUCUUCUUCAUUCUUUGUUUUUACAUAAUUUUCAAUAAACUUAUGUUUUGCUUCGGUACAUCAAAAAAUAUUCUUAACAGUAUUUCUUUUUAGUUAACAUUAUUUUUAGAUUUAGAACUAAAAAAAAAACUACAUGACUAAAUAGACACUUCAUUUUUGUACAAAAAAAAUUAGAUACUUCAUUUAGGUUAUCAAUUCAUUCACAUAAUCAAACCAAAUAGAUCCAUUGUUGCUAUUGUUGUUUUAUAAAGAAAAUAAAAUCCAUAUGAGAAGUAAAAGAAAAAUCUUCUGCCCAACAAUAGAUCCAAAAAUUAAUAUGGAAUAAUCUAUUAAUAUUUGAAAAAGAAAUGUUUAGAAAGAUGAAAUACUUAAAAAAAAAAUUCAUAAUCAUGUAAAAAAAACUACAGAAGCGUGUUUACAAUAAAUUUUUCUUUUUCUUAUAUGAUACAAAUUUUUAGAUUCAAACCCAAAUUCGGAUUUGUUGUUCUUGUUGUUGUUUGCAUGAUAUAGUGUAGAAGAAGAACACACACAGCAGAAGUAGCCAUUUGUUUUUGGACAGUGAAUGUUUUUGGACAACAUUACGAUGCCAACCUUUUGAACUCUUUUUGUUUAUUAAUUUCUUAAAAAAAAUAUGGAUGAUAUACAACGGUGAAUUUUGUAAAAUUCGUAUUCGUUAUAAUAGUAUUCAUGACUUGUGCACCAUGAAAAACUUGGUAAAGUAUUUCACCGUAGAUUUGGCCUAAAUAUUCGUCCAAUAAAAAAAAUCACAUGAAAUUUCUUUUCUUUUUUUUUUGUGUGAAGUAUUUUGUUUUUAAUUCUAACUAGUUUAGACAUCCACGGGCUAGAAUUUCGUCUUAUUUAAAAUUAUUUUAACUUAUCACAUAUUAUCAUUAUUUGUAAAGUAUUAAUUUUUGUCAAAAAAAAUAUCUAUAAAGUAUUAAUUAAUAUCAUAUAUUGUCCGCAUAUUUUUUUAUUUUAUUUUUUGGUGAACCAAAUAUAUAUUUCGCAUUAAACUGCUGAGACUAAUCCACUCGAAGUAACUGAGAUCCAUUUAAAAGGUUGAGAUACAUUUAUAGGGUAUUUUUAUUUAUUGAGGUGUUUUAUUUUUUCCACGGUUAGAUUUAAAAUAAUAGCUAGGAUUAAUUGUUGAAAGAGAUUGAGACAAAUUGAGAUUAAGAGGAUCCAAAUCCGGAAUAAUCAAUGCGUUAUUCCGGCAACCAUAAUUUUGUUCACAUGUAUAUCAUGAAAGGAUAAAAGAGUAACAAAAAGAAUAAUUUCCAGGUGUGAUAAAAUCGGUGUGCCGACAAUCAAUCCUUAGUUGGUUUAGUGGUGAUUGACGCUGAACUUGGUAGAGAGGACUACGGUUCGAUCCCCAGCAACUGCGAUCAGGAGGGAGUUUGAACAACUUGAUACCAGAACUGACUCCCGAACUAGAUUAAACUGGUGGUGAAAGAAAAAAAAAAUCAAUGUGCUGACAAACACAACAUAUCAAUGCACCCAAGAGACAUUUAAUGAUAAUUCUAAUUUUAAUAAUUGGGGUUUUCACACUAUAAAAUGAUCAUACAAUUUUUAAACUUUACACGCAAACAAAACAAAUUAUGGCUAAAAAAACUCUCAUGUUUUUUCAAAUUAUGUUUACUUUUAUUUUUAUAUUUACCAUUGUAAUUGAAGGCUUCCCUAGUAAGAUCGUUUUUUUUUCCUUCAAAUUUUUUUUAUAUGUUUUAUUCCCUAUUAUUAACAUUCGUUUUUUCUUAUUUGACAUCACAGAAUUUAAUUCCGAUCAGAAGUGUUAUGGUGACAAGGAUUGCCCUAAAUUUCUGUGUAUGCCUCCUAGUGUUCCAAAGUGCUUAAGGAACCAUUGUCGAUGUGUUGACAAUUGAAUCUCAUCCUCAAAAGUUGUAAAAAUGGUCAUUAGUGCUACCGUUAUUGAUAAUAAUUUUACCUUCCCCAUUUUUUGAUCAAGUUCAAAAAUAUAUUUGUGGUACUUCUAAGAGUAUAUAAUUUUAUUUGUAAUUAUAAUGUUGGUACUUUUAUGCUUUAUUUCACCCUUCAAUAUUUGUUAGUUAAACCU